Non-coding RNA from Chelonoidis abingdonii (Abingdon island giant tortoise), 140 nucleotides. Lineage: Eukaryota; Metazoa; Chordata; Testudines; Testudinidae. The record is from RefSeq and is a predicted model, not a curated record.
CAUGGAAUGGGGGGACACACGCAAGCAGCAAUAACAAAGGGACAUUGGUUUGGACUGAGGUCUGAGUGAGUCAGUAUGUGUGCCAGCGCGCCGUUAAAUGCCAAUGCACAUUCUACCACCAUACUAGCAUUUGCUCAGCC